UGAUUUUACCAAACAAGUGACAUUCCCACAAAUAUUAUGCUUGACUUGAAGUCAUUGUUUUGAGGGUCCUACAUGCUAUGUCACUAUCACAAGAUAAAAUCAUAUCCUUAUAAGAAAGAUAAUAAAUGCAAGCAACAGGUUGACAGUUAAAGUCGUUAUCUUUAAUGAAAUGACUUUGGAAAUAGCAUCAAUUUCCACGACACCAACAUUUUGGGAGUCCCAUAAAAUAUGUAGGAUUACAUUCCAAUGCCAAUAGUACAGGCAGAUCUCCUUUCACAUGGCAAAUAGGAUCAAGAAAGCAACCAUCAGACAGAAGAGACCCAUAGCUUCAGACAGGGCGAAUCCCAGGAUAGCAUAUGAGAACAGCUGCUGCUUCAGAGAAGGAUUUCUGGCAUAGCCAAUGAUUAGACUACCGAAGACCGUUCCAAUACCAGCACCAGAUCCAGCCACACCUACUGUGGCAGCACCAGCACCAAUGAAUUUGGCAGCAGUGUCAAUGUCCCUGCUGACAGCACUAGUCUGGAAUUCUCUAAGUGCUAGUUGGGAGACAGCGUUUUGGGCCCCAUUAAGUGUGGAUUUGCCCUCUCCAGUCCUGACCUCUGGCCUAGAAAACACAGAUGCUGAAAUUGGUCUGUACAAGAUUCUCGAUCCAGCGCGGAUCAGGGCGGGCGAAGCGGCGAGCUUGGCGCAGGCGAACAUCUUAGCGGGCGGGCGGCGUCCCCGGGGCCACGAUCCGGCGUCUCCUCUGCGGCUGCCGCUCCUCAGGGCUGACGGGCUGAGCGCGGCUGUGCGCAGGCGCGGCGGGACCGGCGGCGGGCGCCCGGAUGCGGCGCGACGGAAGAGGAGGGAGCGGCGCCAAGGUCACUUUAUGCCGACGCCAUUGGCAGCGGCGGGGGGCGCGAACCUCGCCACGCCCCCCACUUGACCACGCCCACUUUAGCCACGCCCCCAUUUAACCACGCCCCCUCGAUCGACAGCCCCCUCCUUCGGCCGCGCCCCCCGCCCGCUCUGAGCUCCCCCCCGCAGGGCUGCAGGCCGCUCGCUGCGCGCUCUCUGCCUCCGGGCCCUCCCUGGGUUACACGGAGCCCCAGCAACUGAACAGCACAGUUCACAUCUGCCUCUUGCAUCCUUGUUGGGGUGUUCUCCCAUCCUCCAGCUGACACCGUGCCUUCCGUCAUCGCGUACUUUUCUGUCGGCUCCCACAACCAGGCUGCAGUCUCACCGGUGCUGUACAUUUUCUGUCACGAUUCCCACUCUGGAA
This 1261-nucleotide long non-coding RNA is filed under the name Gallus gallus (chicken). The record is from RNAcentral. Lineage: Eukaryota; Metazoa; Chordata; Aves; Galliformes; Phasianidae.